CUACUCUUCCACAUUCACCUACUCUCUCCCACACCAGCCUUAUUUCAUUCACACCAAAAGAAAUCCUCAUAGUACAAUAGGUUGUCAAGACUCAGCUAUUUCCAGCUUUCCAAAUCAAUUUCCACGUCUGCAGCAAGUUUCGCCCCAACAAAUUACAAGAGACAAGCAACAUUCACCACCAAUCCAAGGUCCGAGCGACAGAAAGUGAAGUCAAAGAAGAAACGACUCCACGCCAGCUUUAAGAACGUUUAAGGUUGAGCAGGCGAUGGAAUGGAUCGGUGUUGAGCGGAUUUCCCUUUUGAUGUUUAUGUAAUGAAACCUUGAGUAUGCAUCUCCAUAUGCAUAACUCACACGUUUUUCCGCUGCAAACACUCUGACUUAUUUAUCAUUUCUACUUGAACUUAUUACUACUUCAUUUUAAUUAACUUUCAGUUGGGGUCUAGUCGUUAUGGCAGACUCGUUUGUGAAUUACCCAAGUGGUUAUAUAUAUAUACCACUAGUUUGUUAUUAAUGUU
Long non-coding RNA from Salvia miltiorrhiza (redroot sage), 515 nucleotides. RefSeq lists it as uncharacterized. The record is from RefSeq and is a predicted model, not a curated record. NCBI's taxonomy places the organism in Eukaryota, Viridiplantae, Streptophyta, Magnoliopsida, Lamiales, Lamiaceae. The transcript is spliced from 4 exons.